UGGGGAAUAUUGGACAAUGGGCGCAAGCCUGAUCCAGCCAUGCUGCGUGAGUGAUGAAGGCCCUAGGGUUGUAAAGCCCUUUCACCGGUGAAGAUAAUGACGGUAACCGGAGAAGAAGCCCCGGCUAACUUCGUGCCAGCAGCCGCGGUAAUACGAAGGGGGCUAGCGUUGUUCGGAUUUACUGGGCGUAAAGCGCACGUAGGCGGACUUUUAAGUCAGGGGUGAAAUCCCGGGGCUCAACCCCGGAACUGCCUUUGAUACUGGAAGUCUUGAGUAUGGUAGAGGUGAGUGGAAUUCCGAGUGUAGAGGUGAAAUUCGUAGAUAUUCGGAGGAACACCAGUGGCGAAGGCGGCUCACUGGACCAUUACUGACGCUGAGGUGCGAAAGCGUGGGGAGCAAACAGG
Molecule: ribosomal RNA, 404 nt
Filed under: Actinomycetes bacterium
Lineage: Bacteria; Bacillati; Actinomycetota; Actinomycetes
Description: Actinobacteria bacterium partial 16S ribosomal RNA
Rfam family: Bacterial small subunit ribosomal RNA
Source: RNAcentral